Molecule: long non-coding RNA, 308 nt
Filed under: Felis catus (domestic cat)
Lineage: Eukaryota; Metazoa; Chordata; Mammalia; Carnivora; Felidae
Description: lncRNA (ENSFCAG00000052050.1)
Source: RNAcentral
AGGGACAGUCCCACCCUGGCAGCCGCGCGGAGAGGAGGGCGGCAGAGGAGACCGAAAACUAGGCUUGCCUGGGGCAGUCCAGCCGUAGUGGUGGGCGGGUGCGCGGUUCCUGGAUGUCCUGUAUUACCUGGUGACCUGACGACGCAGGUGGACGUGACUGGUCCCCUGACACUGAGUGCAUGCGGUGAUCCUGGUGGUCCUCUUGCUGGUGGGAGCCGUCAACAGAAGGAUCCAGGCAAAUUUCUGAAAGUGUGCAUUGUGUUCCAUGGCAUAAACCUGAUUUCAACUUCGGUACCAAAUAAUUCCCC